Molecule: small nuclear RNA, 183 nt
Organism: Mesocricetus auratus (golden hamster)
Lineage: Eukaryota; Metazoa; Chordata; Mammalia; Rodentia; Cricetidae
Gene: U2
Rfam family: U2 spliceosomal RNA
About the family: U2 is a small nuclear RNA (snRNA) component of the spliceosome (involved in pre-mRNA splicing).
Source: Ensembl
AUUGCUUCCUGGCCUUUUAGCAAAGAUCAAGCACAGUAUCUAUUUAAUAAGUUUAAUGUCUUCUACAGGCUCUCUUUAAGGACUAUAUAAGUGACUUUUUGGAACAAAGAGAUGGAAUGGAGGUUUGCUCCAUCAAUUCUGUACACCACUUAUUACAAUACCUCCAGGAAUGGUACAACCCUU